RNAcentral lists this ribosomal RNA (2888 nucleotides) under Enterobacter cloacae. RNAcentral's name for it is "23S ribosomal RNA". It matches the Rfam family "Bacterial large subunit ribosomal RNA". Lineage: Bacteria; Pseudomonadati; Pseudomonadota; Gammaproteobacteria; Enterobacterales; Enterobacteriaceae. The record is from RNAcentral.
UUAAGCGACUAAGCGUACACGGUGGAUGCCCUGGCAGUCAGAGGCGAUGAAGGACGUGCUAAUCUGCGAAAAGCGCCGGCGAGGUGAUAUGAACCUUUGACCCGGCGAUGUCCGAAUGGGGAAACCCAGUGCAAUCCGUUGCACUAUCGUUAACUGAAUACAUAGGUUAACGAGGCGAACCGGGGGAACUGAAACAUCUAAGUACCCCGAGGAAAAGAAAUCAACCGAGAUUCCCCCAGUAGCGGCGAGCGAACGGGGAGCAGCCCGGAGUCUGAAUCAGCUUGUGUGUUAGUGGAACGGUCUGGAAAGUCCGACGGUACAGGGUGAUAGUCCCGUACACGAAAGCACACAUGCUGUGAACUCGAAGAGUAGGGCGGGACACGUGGUAUCCUGUCUGAAUAUGGGGGACCAUCCUCAAGGCUAAAUACUCCUGACUGACCGAUAGUGAACCAGUACCGUGAGGGAAAGGCGAAAAGAACCCCGGCGAGGGGUGAAAAGAACCUGAAACCGUGUACGUACAAGCAGUGGGAGCCUCUUUAUGGGGUGACUGCGUACCUUUGUAUAAUGGGUCAGCGACUUAUAUUCUGUAGCAAGGUUAACCGUAUAGGGGAGCCGAAGGGAAACCGAGUCUUAACUGGGCGUUAAGUUGCAGGGUAUAGACCCGAAACCCGGUGAUCUAGCCAUGGGCAGGUUGAAGGUUGGGUAACACUAACUGGAGGACCGAACCGACUAAUGUUGAAAAAUUAGCGGAUGACCUGUGGCUGGGGGUGAAAGGCCAAUCAAACCGGGAGAUAGCUGGUUCUCCCCGAAAGCUAUUUAGGUAGCGCCUCGUGAACUCAUCUUCGGGGGUAGAGCACUGUUUCGGCUAGGGGGCCAUCCCGGCUUACCAACCCGAUGCAAACUACGAAUACCGAAGAAUGUUAUCACGGGAGACACGGCGGGUGCUAACGUCCGUCGUGAAGAGGGAACAACCCAGACCGCCAGCUAAGGUCCCAAAGUCAUGGUUAAGUGGGAAACGAUGUGGGAAGGCACAGACAGCCGGGAUGUUGGCUUAGAAGCAGCCAUCAUUUAAAGCGUAAUAGCUCACUGGUCGAGUCGGCCUGCGCGGAAGAUGUAACGGGCUAAACCAUGCACCGAAGCUGCGGCAGCGACGCUUAUGCGUUGUUGGGUAGGGGAGCGUUCUGUAAGCCGUUGAAGGUGUCCUGUGAGGGGUGCUGGAGGUAUCAGAAGUGCGAAUGCUGACAUAAGUAACGAUAAAGCGGGUGAAAAGCCCGCUCGCCGGAAGACCAAGGGUUCCUGUCCAACGUUAAUCGGGGCAGGGUGAGUCGACCCCUAAGGCGAGGCCGAAAGGCGUAGUCGAUGGGAAACAGGUUAAUAUUCCUGUACUUGGUGUUACUGCGAAGGGGGGACGGAGAAGGCUAUGUCAGCCGGGCGACGGUUGUCCCGGUUUAAGCAUGUAGGCGGAGGUUCCAGGUAAAUCCGGUACCUUAUUAACGCUGAGGUGUGAUGACGAGGCACUACGGUGCUGAAGUGAUAAAUGCCCUGCUUCGGGGAAAGCCUCUAAGCAUCAGGUAACACGAAAUCGUACCCCAAACCGACACAGGUGGUCAGGUAGAGAAUACCAAGGCGCUUGAGAGAACUCGGGUGAAGGAACUAGGCAAAAUGGUGCCGUAACUUCGGGAGAAGGCACGCUGAUGUGUAGGUGAAGUCCCUGCGGACGGAGCUGAAAUCAGUCGAAGAUACCAGCUGGCUGCAACUGUUUAUUAAAAACACAGCACUGUGCAAACACGAAAGUGGACGUAUACGGUGUGACGCCUGCCCGGUGCCGGAAGGUUAAUUGAUGGGGUUAGCGGCAACGCGAAGCUCUUGAUCGAAGCCCCGGUAAACGGCGGCCGUAACUAUAACGGUCCUAAGGUAGCGAAAUUCCUUGUCGGGUAAGUUCCGACCUGCACGAAUGGCGUAAUGAUGGCCAGGCUGUCUCCACCCGAGACUCAGUGAAAUUGAACUCGCUGUGAAGAUGCAGUGUACCCGCGGCAAGACGGAAAGACCCCGUGAACCUUUACUAUAGCUUGACACUGAACACUGGUCCUUGAUGUGUAGGAUAGGUGGGAGGCUUUGAAGCGUGGACGCCAGUCUGCGUGGAGCCAACCUUGAAAUACCACCCUUUAAUGGCUGGUGUUCUAACGUAGACCCGUAAUCCGGGUUGCGGACAGUGUCUGGUGGGUAGUUUGACUGGGGCGGUCUCCUCCCAAAGAGUAACGGAGGAGCACGAAGGUUGGCUAAUCCUGGUCGGACAUCAGGAGGUUAGUGCAAUGGCAUAAGCCAGCUUGACUGCGAGCGUGACGGCGCGAGCAGGUGCGAAAGCAGGUCAUAGUGAUCCGGUGGUUCUGAAUGGAAGGGCCAUCGCUCAACGGAUAAAAGGUACUCCGGGGAUAACAGGCUGAUACCGCCCAAGAGUUCAUAUCGACGGCGGUGUUUGGCACCUCGAUGUCGGCUCAUCACAUCCUGGGGCUGAAGUAGGUCCCAAGGGUAUGGCUGUUCGCCAUUUAAAGUGGUACGCGAGCUGGGUUUAGAACGUCGUGAGACAGUUCGGUCCCUAUCUGCCGUGGGCGCUGGAGAAUUGAGGGGGGCUGCUCCUAGUACGAGAGGACCGGAGUGGACGCAUCACUGGUGUUCGGGUUGUCAUGCCAAUGGCACUGCCCGGUAGCUAAAUGCGGAAGAGAUAAGUGCUGAAAGCAUCUAAGCACGAAACUUGCCCCGAGAUGAGUUCUCCCUGAGACCUUGAGUCUCCUGAAGGAACGUUGAAGACGACGACGUUGAUAGGUCGGGUGUGUAAGCGCAGCGAUGCGUUGAGCUAACCGAUACUAAUGAACCGUGAGGCUUAACCU